UCAGUGUGGAAAAUGUGGGAGAUCACUUUCCCUAGUUCUAAGUGCUGUGGAGGGGCACCGGGCUUUGCCCCAUAAUAUCCAGACCCUUUCCACAGUGAUAGAGAAAAGGCUGGACUUUGUGUCAGCACCUGCAUAUUCCCACUUCUCAGAGUUCUUCGAACAAUGCCUGAGAAGAUAAACCAUGCAGGAAAUAUUG
This 196-nucleotide small nucleolar RNA is filed under the name Chinchilla lanigera (long-tailed chinchilla). RNAcentral describes it as "Small nucleolar RNA SNORA73 family (ENSCLAG00000019930.1)". It matches the Rfam family "Small nucleolar RNA SNORA73 family". Rfam says of the family: U17 (SNORA73A and SNORA73B) also known as E1 belongs to the H/ACA class of small nucleolar RNAs (snoRNAs). Vertebrate U17 is intron-encoded and ranges in length from 200-230 nucleotides, longer than most snoRNAs. Lineage: Eukaryota; Metazoa; Chordata; Mammalia; Rodentia; Chinchillidae. The record is from Rfam by way of RNAcentral.